RNAcentral lists this ribosomal RNA (441 nucleotides) under uncultured bacterium. RNAcentral's name for it is "partial 16S ribosomal RNA". It matches the Rfam family "Bacterial small subunit ribosomal RNA", at positions 338 to 795 of the family's 1533-position model. The record is from RNAcentral.
CCUACGUGAGGCAGCAGUGGGGGAUAUUGCACAAUGGGGGGAACCCUGAUGCAGCGACGCCGCGUGGGUGAAGGAGCGUUUCGGCGCGUAAAGCCCUAUCGGCAGGGAAGAAGGAGGACGGUACCUGACUACGAAGCCCCGGCUAACUACGUGCCAGCAGCCGCGGUAAUACGUAGGGGGCAAGCGUUAUCCGGAUUUACUGGGUGUAAAGGGGGCGCAGACGGCAGCGCAAGCCAGGAGUGAAAGCCCGGGGCGCAACCCCGGGACUGCUCUUGGAACUGCGCGGCUGGAGUGCAGGAGGGGCAGGCGGAAUUCCUGGUGUAGCGGUGAAAUGCGUAGAUAUCAGGAGGAACACCGGCGGCGAAGGCGGCCUGCUGGACUGCGACUGACGUUGAGGCUCGAAAGCGUGGGGAGCGAACAGGAUUAGAUACCCGAGUAGUC